This 450-nucleotide small RNA is filed under the name Pan troglodytes (chimpanzee). RNAcentral's name for it is "processed transcript". Lineage: Eukaryota; Metazoa; Chordata; Mammalia; Primates; Hominidae. The record is from RNAcentral.
GCGGCGGCCGCGGCGCCGCGGCGCUGCCCGCCGGCUGCAAGCACGAUGGGCGGCCCCGAGGGGCUGGCAGGGCGGCGGGCGCCGCCGAGGGCAAGGUGGUGUGCAGCAGCCUGGAACUCGCGCAGGUCCUGCCCCCAGAUACUCUGCCCAACCGCACGGUCACCCUGAUUCUGAGUAACAAUAAGAUAUCCGAGCUGAAGAAUGGCUCAUUUUCUGGGUUAAGUCUCCUUGAAAGAUUGCUGUACAGGAAGCAUCGAGCUGGCAUCUGCUCGGCUUCCAAGGAGGCCUCAGGAAGCUUACAAUCAUGGUGGAAGGCCAAGCUUGCAUGUCACAUGGCGAAAACAGAAGCCAGGAUGUGAUGUCAAGGGGAAAAACACUAGUAUAAACUUUGAUAUUUUAUUCAGAUGUCUUUGAAUGUGAUAUAUUUGUAAAUAUAUAUUUUUCUUAGCA